RNAcentral lists this long non-coding RNA (374 nucleotides) under Gallus gallus (chicken). The record is from RNAcentral. Lineage: Eukaryota; Metazoa; Chordata; Aves; Galliformes; Phasianidae.
ACAGUACAGCAUCUCCCAGGAUAUUUUGAAUACACGUCCCUUUCAAAUGCUUUCUGCAUGCUCUCCUAUAUCUUCCUACCCGAGCACCAAUUUAAGCUGCUCUGAAAUGAAUGGGGGCACAAUGCUGAGGAGAGUGCUGUGGGGGUGUGGUGCACAGAGCUGCUGAAGAAAGGAAAGACACAGAAGCUGAUUAAGGACACUGAAGAAGACAGAAGAUAAAAUGCUUUGGAGAUAUCUCCUCAUCAGGAACAAUCCCUCUCCAGUUGGCUGGAUACUUCAGUUAUCCGCAAUACAGUGAUAAGGUGAUACUCACUCAGAUCUUCUCAGAAACUAUGGAUCAGCAGCUUGUGGAAAGGAUUUACAGCUCACAGAAG